This 253-nucleotide ribosomal RNA is filed under the name uncultured bacterium. RNAcentral's name for it is "partial 16S ribosomal RNA". It matches the Rfam family "Bacterial small subunit ribosomal RNA", at positions 524 to 776 of the family's 1533-position model. The record is from RNAcentral.
UACGUAGGGUGCGAGCGUUAAUCGGAAUUACUGGGCGUAAAGCGUGCGCAGGCGGUUUUGUAAGCCAGAUGUGAAAGCCCCGGGCUCAACCUGGGAAUGGCAUUUGGGACUGCAAGGCUUGAGUGCGGCAGAGGAGACUGGAAUUCCUGGUGUAGCAGUGAAAUGCGUAGAUAUCGUAAGGAAGACCAGUGGCGAAGGCGGGUCUCUGGACAGUUCCUGACGCUGAGGCACGAAGGCCAGGGGAGCAAACGGG